RNAcentral lists this ribosomal RNA (1239 nucleotides) under Alcaligenes sp. Its description in RNAcentral is "bacterial SSU rRNA". It matches the Rfam family "Bacterial small subunit ribosomal RNA", at positions 149 to 1386 of the family's 1533-position model. The record is from RNAcentral. Lineage: Bacteria; Pseudomonadati; Pseudomonadota; Betaproteobacteria; Burkholderiales; Alcaligenaceae.
ACUCGAAAGAGUGGCUAAUACCGCAUACGCCCUACGGGGGAAAGGGGGGGAUCGCAAGACCUCUCACUAUUGGAGCGGCCGAUAUCGGAUUAGCUAGUUGGUGGGGUAAAGGCUCACCAAGGCAACGAUCCGUAGCUGGUUUGAGAGGACGACCAGCCACACUGGGACUGAGACACGGCCCAGACUCCUACGGGAGGCAGCAGUGGGGAAUUUUGGACAAUGGGGGAAACCCUGAUCCAGCCAUCCCGCGUGUAUGAUGAAGGCCUUCGGGUUGUAAAGUACUUUUGGCAGAGAAGAAAAGGUAUCCCCUAAUACGGGAUACUGCUGACGGUAUCUGCAGAAUAAGCACCGGCUAACUACGUGCCAGCAGCCGCGGUAAUACGUAGGGUGCAAGCGUUAAUCGGAAUUACUGGGCGUAAAGCGUGUGUAGGCGGUUCGGAAAGAAAGAUGUGAAAUCCCAGGGCUCAACCUUGGAACUGCAUUUUUAACUGCCGAGCUAGAGUAUGUCAGAGGGGGGUAGAAUUCCACGUGUAGCAGUGAAAUGCGUAGAUAUGUGGAGGAAUACCGAUGGCGAAGGCAGCCCCCCUGGGAUAAUACUUGACGCUCAGACACGAAAGCGUGGGGGAGCAAACAGGAUUAGAUACCCUGGUAGUCCACGCCCUAAACGAUGUCAACUAGCUGUUGGGGCCGUUAGGCCUUAGUAGCGCAGCUAACGCGUGAAGUUGACCGCCUGGGGAGUACGGUCGCAAGAUUAAAACUCAAAGGAAUUGACGGGGACCCGCACAAGCGGUGGAUGAUGUGGAUUAAUUCGAUGCAACGCGAAAAACCUUACCUACCCUUGACAUGUCUGGAAAGCCGAAGAGAUUUGGCCGUGCUCGCAAGAGAACCGGAACACAGGUGCUGCAUGGCUGUCGUCAGCUCGUGUCGUGAGAUGUUGGGUUAAGUCCCGCAACGAGCGCAACCCUUGUCAUUAGUUGCUACGCAAGAGCACUCUAAUGAGACUGCCGGUGACAAACCGGAGGAAGGUGGGGAUGACGUCAAGUCCUCAUGGCCCUUAUGGGUAGGGCUUCACACGUCAUACAAUGGUCGGGACAGAGGGUCGCCAACCCGCGAGGGGGAGCCAAUCUCAGAAACCCGAUCGUAGUCCGGAUCGCAGUCUGCAACUCGACUGCGUGAAGUCGGAAUCGCUAGUAAUCGCGGAUCAGAAUGUCGCGGUGAAUACGUUCCCGGGUCUUGUAC